Molecule: small nucleolar RNA, 77 nt
Filed under: Nippostrongylus brasiliensis
Lineage: Eukaryota; Metazoa; Nematoda; Chromadorea; Rhabditida; Heligmosomidae
Description: Nematode snoRNA ceN22
Rfam family: Nematode snoRNA ceN22
Source: Rfam by way of RNAcentral
GUUGCAUGGCUGGUGAGGAUCACUGUCUUAGGAAGUGCCGUCUUAAUCUGAUGAUUAUAAUUAGGACGCUGAGGCCG